UGUGGAAAAGAUGGCAUCAUUCCUGAAGGGAACACAGAGAAUCGGGUGGCACGAAGACAAAAGCCCUCUGGAUUGCUGCAAGAAGUGUCCUCAGAUCCAAGCUCUAUGUCCCCGGAAACUGACCUGUGGACUGCUUCAUGUGGGCUCAUUUGCCCUCUGCUUCUGGCUGGUUUGGCAAUGGAGACAGAGAGAGAUGAGAAGGUGGGCGGAGAGAAAGGUUGGUGUGUGUUCAUUCCUCCAACCCCCGCCUUGUCUCUUCCACAGCUCCAGCCUCAGGCUGGUCCUUUGACCAUGCUUCAUUGAUUCCUGAAACCUGCUGCCACCUGUGUAAAUAGUAUCUGCAGUAAAUAACUCUUCAGUUAAACUCUUCUCUGCACUGUGUAUGCCCUGCCCAGACCCAACUGUUACAAUACUGAAUGCUCAUAUAAAUCUUAUAUAAAUGCUUACUUACUCUUAACUCUGACCCUCUUAUAAAUGCUAUAUGUAUAGUUAACAUUUGCAAUAAGCCUAUGAGGUAGAUGCUGUUAC
Molecule: long non-coding RNA, 528 nt
Organism: Callithrix jacchus (white-tufted-ear marmoset)
Lineage: Eukaryota; Metazoa; Chordata; Mammalia; Primates; Cebidae
Source: Ensembl